RNAcentral lists this long non-coding RNA (683 nucleotides) under Prunus persica (peach). RNAcentral describes it as "long non-coding RNA (PPER_LNC003231)". The record is from RNAcentral. Lineage: Eukaryota; Viridiplantae; Streptophyta; Magnoliopsida; Rosales; Rosaceae.
GGGAAUAUCUCCCAAGUAAGUUCUUUUCUUUACCUCAAACUGGUGAUGAUUUCAUAAUUUUUCACAAUACAAAAUGGGUAGGUCUGGCCAGAAUAGACAAAAAGAAAGUAAACUGUUUUAGGCAGAACUGCCUGUUACAAGACUCAAAAAUGAAAUGACAACUCCGAAACAAGACAAUAAGAUGUUGGACUUCGGUUUCUGCUUGGUUAACUACCUCUGAUCAGGGCUGGAUUGGAUAUGUUUAUGCUGGAUUGGCUCGUCAACACCUUCAACUCAGUUGAGUUUCAGCUGGAAAUCGAUACCAACGUUUGAGUUUGGCAGAGCUUCAAUUUAUUUCGGGCCACGGAAGGCUUGCUGAACUAGCAGAAUUGAGGCCUCUUCAGUCUGGAGAGGGCAAAAGUGGUUGGAUUGAUGAUCACCGAGUUGGGGCUGCACUAUGGUGCCUAUUCUCCUUGACCAAGGCUCUCUGUAAAUUUGUUGAGAUUUUCAUAUUCGUGAUAAACCCUGACUCUGCUUGACUUGGCUUUAUGCUGAACCAAAUUUGUAACGAGAGAAAUCUUGUUUUGUAUGACUAUUUCUUUGAAAUUGAACUGAAGUUAGAGAUUUCGACUUAUAGCUGACUUGUUUCUUGUGGCUCAAUGAGCUUUGGUUGCUUCAGUGUUUUAAAGGCUUUUGAGAUCAAG